GAGUUUGAUCAUGGCUCAGAUUGAACGCUGGCGGUAGGCUUAACACAUGCAAGUCGUGCGAGAAAGUAUCUUCGGGUAUGAGUAGAGCGGCGGACGGGUGAGUAACGCGUAGGAAUCUACCUAGUAGAAGGGGAUAGCCCGGGGAAACCCGGAUUAAUACCGUAUACCUCCUUCGGGAGAAAGAAGGCCUCUCUUUGAAGCUUUCGCUAUUAGAUGAGCCUGCGUAAGAUUAGCUUGUUGGUGAGGUAAAGGCUCACCAAGGCGACGAUCUUUAGCUGGUCUGAGAGGACGAUCAGCCACAUUGGGACUGAGACACGGCCCAGACUCCUACGGGAGGCAGCAGUGGGGAAUAUUGGACAAUGGGCGCAAGCCUGAUCCAGCCAUACCGCGUGUGUGAAGAAGGCCUUCGGGUUGUAAAGCACUUUAAGCAGGGAGAAAAAGUUAUAAGUUAAUACCUUAUAACCCUGAUGUUACCUGCAGAAUAAGCACCGGCUAAUUCCGUGCCAGCAGCCGCGGUAAUACGGAAGGUGCAAGCGUUAAUCGGAAUUACUGGGCGUAAAGCGCGCGUAGGUGGUUUGUUAAGUUGGAUGUGAAAGCCCUGGGCUCAACCUAGGAACUGCAUCCAAAACUAACUCACUAGAGUACGAUAGAGGGAGGUAGAAUUCAUAGUGUAGCGGUGGAAUGCGUAGAUAUUAUGAAGAAUACCAGUGGCGAAGGCGGCCUCCUGGAUCUGUACUGACACUGAGGUGCGAAAGCGUGGGUAGCGAACAGGAUUAGAUACCCUGGUAGUCCACGCCGUAAACGAUGACAAUUAGCUGUUGGGAGACUAUGUCUUUCAGUGGCGCAGCUAACGCUUUAAGUUGUCCGCCUGGGGAGUACGGCCGCAAGGCUAAAACUCAAAUGAAUUGACGGGGACCCGCACAAGCGGUGGAGCAUGUGGUUUAAUUCGAUGCAACGCGAAAAACCUUACCUACUCUUGACAUACUAGGAGGCUCUUGUAAUGAGAGUGUGCCUUUUGGAACCAAGAUACAGGUGCUGCAUGGCUGUCGUCAGCUCGUGUCGUGAGAUGUUCCGUUAAGUCGGAUAACGAGCGCAACCCUUACCCUUAUUUGCCAGCGAUUCGGUCGGGAACUAUAAGGGGACUGCCGGUGAUAAACCGGAGGAAGGUGAGGACGACGUCAAGUCAUCAUGGCCCUUACGAGUAGGGCUACACACGUGCUACAAUGGGAGAUACAGACGGACGCUAAGCCGCGAGGUGGUGCUAAUCCUAAAAAGUCUUUCGUAGUCCGGAUUGGAGUCUGCAACUCGACUCCAUGAAGUCGGAAUCGCUAGUAAUCGCGGAUCAGCAUGCCGCGGUGAAUACGUUCUCGGGUCUUGUACACACCGCCCGUCACACCAUGGAAGUGGAUUGCACCAGAAGUAGAUAGUCUAACCUUAGGGAGGGCGUUUACCACAGUGUGCUUCAUGACUGGGGUGAAGUCGUAACAAGGUAACC
This 1495-nucleotide ribosomal RNA is filed under the name uncultured marine bacterium. Its description in RNAcentral is "bacterial SSU rRNA". It matches the Rfam family "Bacterial small subunit ribosomal RNA". The record is from RNAcentral.